AAGAAAAAUUUAAGGAAGUAAUUAAUUAAACCAAUAAAGUUUGGCAGUUAAAAACUUUUAGAGAAAUUUGUUUCUUAAUCGUAAACACUCGAUAAAUUUAACUUUUAGUAAAAAUUUAUAUACCGCCGUUAUAGAAAUAAAAUAAAUGAAAUAUCAAAAUAAAAUAAAAUUAAAAAAUCAGGUCAAGGUAUAAUCCAUCCAAAAGUAGAAAUUAAUUACACAUAAAAAAAAAUUAAGAAAUUCAAAACAAAAACUUUAAAGAAAAAGAAUCUACAAACAAAGAAUUAAAUUAAAAAUUCAAAUUGAAAUAUUAUAUUUUAAUGC
RNAcentral lists this ribosomal RNA (324 nucleotides) under Litoporus sp. Br16-62. Its description in RNAcentral is "partial 12S ribosomal RNA". The record is from RNAcentral. Lineage: Eukaryota; Metazoa; Arthropoda; Arachnida; Araneae; Pholcidae.